AUAACACAAAGGUGGUUUUUUUCUUUCUCUUUCUCUUUGCUCGACUCAUCCUUGAUCAAGUUUCUCUUCUUGAACCCAUGUCUUCUUCUUUUCAUAAACUUCUUGAGUUUUUUUGAUUACUAGGGCUAUGUCCUCAUCAUUAUCAUCUUCGGUGGAUUGACUUUCAUCUUAUUCAACAGUUGUAGACUUCAAGGCAAUUGUCUUCUUCUUUCUACUCUCCUUUUCAGCAUGCUGCUCCAUUACUAACUCGUGUAUCAAUAAUGAUCCAAUCAGCUCCUUAAAAGGUAAUUUGUUU
RNAcentral lists this long non-coding RNA (295 nucleotides) under Elaeis guineensis (African oil palm). Its description in RNAcentral is "long non-coding RNA (EGUI_LNC036140)". Lineage: Eukaryota; Viridiplantae; Streptophyta; Magnoliopsida; Arecales; Arecaceae. The record is from RNAcentral.